AUCAUUAGAACUUCUUUUCAAAG
This 23-nucleotide non-coding RNA is filed under the name Cricetulus griseus (Chinese hamster). Lineage: Eukaryota; Metazoa; Chordata; Mammalia; Rodentia; Cricetidae. The record is from RNAcentral.